Molecule: ribosomal RNA, 390 nt
Filed under: fungal sp.
Lineage: Eukaryota; Fungi
Description: SSU rRNA
Rfam family: Eukaryotic small subunit ribosomal RNA
Source: RNAcentral
CGUGCACGCCUAUUGUGUUGGUCUCUAGGUGUGCCGUAAUGAUGAAUAGGGGCGGUUGGGGGCAUUUGUAUUCAAUUGCUAGAGGUGAAAUUCUUGGAUUUAUUGAAGACAAACUACUGCGAAAGCAUUUGCCAAGGACGCUUUCAUUGAUCAAGAACGAAGGUCGGGGGAUCGAAAACGAUUAGAUACCGUUGUAGUCUCGACAGUAAACGAUGUUGACUGGGGAUCAGUCGGGGUUUUAUUUUAUGACCCGAUUGGCACCCAAAGAGAAAUCUUGAGUGAAAUUCGCGGGGGAGUACGGUCACAAGGCUGAAACUUAAAGGAAUUGACGGAAGGGCACCACCAGGAGUGGAGCCUGCGGCUUAAUUUGACUCAACACGGGGAAACUCA